AGCGGCGGACGGGUGAGUAACGCGUGGGUAACCUGCCCUAUACACACGGAUAACAUACCGAAAGGUAUGCUAAUACGGGAUAAUAUAAGAGAUUCUCAUGGAUUUCUUAUCAAAGCUGAGGCGGUAUAGGAUGGACCCGCGUCUGAUUAGCUAGUUGGUAAGGUAACGGCUUACCAAGGCGACGAUCAGUAGCCGACCUGAGAGGGUGAUCGGCCACAUUGGAACUGAGACACGGUCCAAACUCCUACGGGAGGCAGCAGUGGGGAAUAUUGCACAAUGGGCGAAAGCCUGAUGCAGCAACGCCGCGUGAGUGACGAAGGCCUUCGGGUCGUAAAACUCUGUCCUCAAGGAAGAUAAUGACGGUACUUGAGGAGGAAGCCCCGGCUAACUACGUGCCAGCAGCCGCGGUAAUACGUAGGGGGCUAGCGUUAUCCGGAUUUACUGGGCGUAAAGGGUGCGUAGGUGGUCUCUUAAGUCAGGAGUGAAAGGCUACGGCUUAACCGUAGUAAGCUCUUGAAACUGGGAGACUUGAGUGCAGGAGAGGAAAGUGGAAUUCCUAGUGUAGCGGUGAAAUGCGUAGAUAUUAGGAGGAACACCAGUAGCGAAGGCGGCUUUCUGGACUGUAACUGACACUGAGGCACGAAAGCGUGGGGAGCAAACAGGAUUAGAUACCCUGGUAGUCCACGCCGUAAACGAUGAGUACUAGGUGU
Molecule: ribosomal RNA, 710 nt
Filed under: uncultured bacterium
Lineage: Bacteria
Description: bacterial SSU rRNA
Rfam family: Bacterial small subunit ribosomal RNA
Source: RNAcentral